CUCUCUCUUGGGGUGACUAUAUUGAUAAACUUUUGGCCAAUCUUCUUAAGGGAAAUUCAAUCCAUUAAGCUUUGUGUUAUCUUGGAAAAAAAAGAUAGUAAAAGAAAAAUAUGAUUUUUUUUCUUUUGCUGAUUUUUAUAACGUUGCACACAUUUCUUUGUUUUUCAUGUUUUUAACACUACUAGGACUAGUACAAUAUUUUCAAAGACUCGUAUGCGUUAGUUAUUCAUAAGUAAUUAGGAAAUUAAAAAGUAAUUAGAAAUCUUUAAUCAGUGGAUUUAAGCAGAAUUAUAAAUAAUUGUCAUUAUGGUCUUUUUAUGUAUAUAUCUAGUUUAUUUGCAUCAAGCAUGAUGGGGUGUGUUUCUUGAUCUCUUUUGACCAAACACAUUAAAUUAAUCCCCCUGUCUUCGAUUUACACAAGUCGUGCAUUUGAGGUCAUUUGGAAAUCCUUUUCAGUCACAGUUCAUCAAUCACAAAGUAAAUCUGGAUGGGACUUUGCUCUUGUCUCAUCAGAGACUCCCCUCAAGCUCCAUAAAUUUUUGAUUUGCUGCUAUGGUUGGCUGGUUUUAAUUUAGAGUUGAAGAACAAACAGCAUAGUUGUCUGGAAUUGCACUUGGAGAAAAAGAAUGUAUGAAAUCUUUGGAUCAGAUUCUGGGAGACGGAUUGCAAUGUCUCUGAGAACUGGGGAGCCACAAUGCAUACUGCACACUCAUUAUGACCGCUUCACGCUCAUCAUGUACUGUAUAUUACAUGUGUAGCUAUUUAUUUAGAAGUAUAUAUGAUAUUGUUACAGAGACUCUCAUUAAGAUGGCACUUGUCACUGCUGUGAAUAGUGAAAUUCUUACAAAAAUGCAAUGGGUUGCUGGUGAGGUUUUUAAGAAUAAACAUGGGAUUACACAGGGUGAGCAAAAACAACAUAUAAUGGCCAGACUUCCAGGUUCCAGAUUUACUUGGUAGUUUUGCUCUCUGUUCCUAUAAAAUAGAAUAGCAUAAUGGCCCCUCUCUCCACUUACAGAACAAUUUAAAUACGUCCUUUAGAUGAAACCCAUGAGAUUGAUUUUGGCAUAAGUUUGUUUUGGCUAGGAUGUGCGACAUUUCUUCAUUAUGGUUACAUGUUUAUGGUGCGAUUGGGAUAGUUGCAAAGACAAUUGUGUAACUAACGUGUCUCGACAAUUCUGUGUAACUGGAGGUAUGUCAUGUAUUUUGCUCCAGGAUUUAUGUGAUUAUAAAUCUUUUACGCAAUAAAGCUAAUGUAGUAAUUCUUCAGGCAUAUUGUUGUCUGGGUUGGAGACAGACACCACACGAUAAAACAUUUUCUUAAACAAUUUUUAAAAAUGUGCUAAUAGUGGCAUUACUUGACAUGGGCUACAUGAUCAAGGUGUAGAGCACUCAAGAAAUAGAAAUCAAAUAACUGCUAGUAUUUUAAUUGGUUGGAGUUCAUCAGAAGGAGGGGCUUGACCAAGGCACCAUUCCUGCGAUAACCAUAACUGCAUGCAUAUUUCUAAUUGAAGCUCACAAAAUUAGGCAUAGUGAUUGUGAUUAAUUGCAGCACUAAAGUGUGAUUAAUCUGAUAAAAUGUUUAAUACACAGGUAAAAUGUUGAUUAUACUCAUAGCUUCAGUUAUGCACGUACUGUUUACAAAGUACAAGAAACUUCGUGGCGAGCCAUAAAUUAUAAGUUACCAAAUGAUGUCAUGUAAAAUUCAACCAAUAACAUUAUUAGUAUUUUUCCUGAAAUUUAGUUAUCAGAUUUGAUACUUUUUUCAGUGAUCAUGCCCAUUUUAGCAAUCAUUAUCAUUUCACCCUUAACUUAUAGACACAGUGAUGAAAAUAUGAAGUUUUCAAAAUCAGCUACACAAUCCAUUUUGAAAUAUAAAUUUAGUCAAAGAAGCAUUUAUUAUGAUAGAGAAAUGUUCA
Molecule: long non-coding RNA, 1916 nt
Organism: Xiphophorus couchianus (Monterrey platyfish)
Lineage: Eukaryota; Metazoa; Chordata; Actinopteri; Cyprinodontiformes; Poeciliidae
Exons: 2
Source: RefSeq, a predicted model, not a curated record